AUACGGAGGGUGUAAGCGUUACUCGGAAUCACUGGGCGUAAAGCGCGCGCAGGCGGUCUUUUAAGUUGGAUGGGAAAGCCUACGGCUCAACCGUAGAACUGCAUCCAAAACUAUUAGACUAGAGUGUGGGAGAGGAAGAUGGAAUUAGUUGUGUAGGGGUAAAAUCCGUAGAGAUAACUAGGAAUACCAAAAGCGAAGGCAAUCUUCUGGAACACUACUGACGCUGAGGCGCGAAAGCGUGGGGAGCAAACAGGAUUAGAAACCCUAGUAGUCC
RNAcentral lists this ribosomal RNA (274 nucleotides) under uncultured bacterium. RNAcentral describes it as "partial 16S ribosomal RNA". It matches the Rfam family "Bacterial small subunit ribosomal RNA", at positions 523 to 796 of the family's 1533-position model. The record is from RNAcentral.